RNAcentral lists this ribosomal RNA (317 nucleotides) under uncultured bacterium. Its description in RNAcentral is "bacterial SSU rRNA". It matches the Rfam family "Bacterial small subunit ribosomal RNA", at positions 32 to 342 of the family's 1533-position model. The record is from RNAcentral.
AAUCAACGCUGGCGGCGUGCCUCAGACAUGCAAGUCGAACGAUUAAAGCUCUCUUCGGAGAGUGCAUAAAGUGGCGCACGGGUGAGUAACACGUAAGUAAUCUACCUUCGAGUGGGGAAUAACGUCCGGAAACGGACGCUAAUACCGCAUAACGCAGCGGCAUCGCAAGAUGACAGUUGUUAAAGAUUUAUCGCUUGAAGAGGAGCUUGCGGCAGAUAGCUUGUUGGUAAGGUAACGGCUUACCAAGGCUACGAUCUGUAUCCGGUCUAAGAGGACGGUCGGACACACUGACACUGAAUAACGGGUCAGACUCCUAC